RNAcentral lists this ribosomal RNA (322 nucleotides) under uncultured eukaryote. RNAcentral describes it as "partial 18S ribosomal RNA". It matches the Rfam family "Eukaryotic small subunit ribosomal RNA", at positions 1470 to 1796 of the family's 1831-position model. The record is from RNAcentral.
CCCUUAGAUGUUCUGGGCCGCACGCGUGCUACACUGAGUGGAUCAGCGGGUCAGGUUGCGCGAAAGUGUUUCCUAAUCUUGAAAUCCGCUCGUGAUGGGGAUUGACGGUUGCAAUUUUCCGUCAUGAACGAGGAAUACCUUGUAAGCGCGGGUCAUCAUCCCGCGCUGAAUACGUCCCUGCCCUUUGUACACACCGCCCGUCGCUCCUACCGAUUGAGUGGUCCGGUGAGGCUUUGGGAUCUGAGCGGAAAGAGCGUUUCGCUGUUUCUGCUCGGAAAACUCAGUCGAACCUUAUCACUUAGAGGAAGGAGAAGUCGUAACA